GGAGAAGGGUCUGUCUGCAGACUGCAAGACAGGGGCGUAACUUGAAGUGGGCGUAACUUGACGAAAGAGGCGUAACUUGAAGUUGUCCAAAUCACACAGAACCACGCGAGAUGUCAAAACGAGAUUUUGUCGGGCUGCAUUCGAAACCGCAUACCCUUUAAUUAGGCACUUAAUUUCAAUAAGAACUAAUUUAACGAGCGAUAAAAGAGUACAUACUCUACAGCCUGAAUGCGUAUUUGUGUAUGAAGCAUUAAUGCGAUUUGGAUAUCAUCAUACGCUAUGUUGAUCAUGUGACCUACAAAGUUAAAACGAGCGUAAAAACUUAAAAGAUAUGAGUGACAGGUUUAAUGAAUGUAUUUGUAUCUUGAUAAUUAAGAUUGUAGUAUAGCCAAUACUGUUAAUUUAAGUUUUUAUAUUUUUAACUCCACUAAUGUGAUUUUUUAUAGAAUUAGAAAACCCAAAAUCGUUAUCUCUAGAAUAUUUUUUCAAUUAUUUUAUGUGAAUUUUUUUUCUUGUAUAGUAUCUCAUACUAUGAUGAACACGUUAUUUUUUUUAUUUACUGUUUUAUGGCGUUAAGAUUGUUAUUGUUAGAUACAACCGUCUUACCAUGAUCUUUUAUGUAAUAAGUUUGGCAAUAAUAAUAAAAAAGAGGUACAGGUGCACUACCACCUCACAGCAUCACUAACUCAACAGUCCAGUACAGUCUCUCUCAGCGACUCUGCAAUAUCUGCACAAACGAAACGUCGAACAGCUGCUCAAAGAUCUCACCUUUGGAGAAGAUUGUUGAUUUUAUACUCUAAAAAUACGGUGAACCCCACAUCUUACUAUCAUCUCAACACAGCUGAGACAGUUCUGCUGCUGCGCUGUGCUUCUCAGUCUCGCUCUUCUCAACGGGGAUGUCGUUGAGCAACAGGAUGAGGAAGACCUUGAUGACGGCUCUCUGAACCACACUACCUUGAAGCGAGAGCAGAAGAACACGUGCAGGACAAUCUGAUUGCUGCUGUGUCUGCUCCAAACAAUCGUGUGCUGCUCUCCAUGAGCACCACUACCUGUAAAACAUUUACACAGAGUUUACAAGUACAUGCAUUGAUUUAUUACUUUUGUAGUGUGCUAAACCACUGAACUGGUUCAAAACUGUCCUUGAGCACAGCUCUUUUCUCCAGGUUGAUCAGAGGAUUGUAGGCCCCUGUAAUAAGAGCACUGUCAAUCACUUCAGAUAAAAGCUCCAUCACAUUUUUUGAUGAUGCUUUUGAAGCUUCUGAAAGUCAGCCUUCGUCGUAUAAACAGAAACCAGCAGAACAAACUUUACCAAAAUCAAAUCCUCAGUGUCUUUUGGUCUUUCUCUAGAUGCUCUCACUGCUCUGGGGCCACUGAUGAUGAAGAGACCACAGCAGCAUCUGGUCCUGAUGAGACAGUAAGAGCUGGAGUGAUGGAGCGUCUCAUCCGUGUCUCUGGACCAUUUCCGGAUGCUGCAGUGGACUUCUCCAUCCUCAGUGCACACACCAGUCUGCAGACAUUUUCAUAACCUACAGAAAUACACACAAUACAAAAAGUCAUUACUUUAUUCUUUUGUUUCAGGUUUUUCCUUUUUUUCCCCUUUCCUUGCAGGUCCUGCUCCACCACAAAAGAUCUGCAGCAAAUGUACAGAAAUCAACAAUAAGAAAAGUGCUGUAAUAACUGUUUGAAAUUACACUAAUUAAAAUGUUUUAUUUAUUUCUCUAGUGUACUUACACAAAUCCUUUGAUGGCAGCAUUCCUUCUUCAGUCACUCUACAGCAGAUAAACAUAAUCUGUUCCUGUAACAUCCAGACAAGAGUCAAGUAACCUCUGUGAUUUAUCUGUGAUAUACUGCAUCUGCAUGUUGAGUUAGUAACUGAUUUUAACGGCGGUUGGCAUCCAGCUUAUUGGUGCAAUACCGCCCUCUUCUGUCCCGGAGUGUGGAUCAGAUAAUAGGUUUUCCUACUAAACCCAUAUUGCCAACAACUUAUCAUUUUGACAUCUCGCGUGAUUCUGUGAGAUUUCGACAACUUCAAGUUACGC
Molecule: long non-coding RNA, 2039 nt
Organism: Cyprinus carpio carpio
Lineage: Eukaryota; Metazoa; Chordata; Actinopteri; Cypriniformes; Cyprinidae
Source: Ensembl